UCCUUCGUGGUGUAGUGGUUAGCACACUCGACGCGAAACUGAGGGGUCCGUGGUUCGAUUCCCGGCCAAGGCG
RNAcentral lists this transfer RNA (73 nucleotides) under Stegodyphus mimosarum. It matches the Rfam family "tRNA". Rfam says of the family: Transfer RNA (tRNA) molecules are approximately 80 nucleotides in length. Their secondary structure includes four short double-helical elements and three loops (D, anti-codon, and T loops). Lineage: Eukaryota; Metazoa; Arthropoda; Arachnida; Araneae; Eresidae. The record is from Rfam by way of RNAcentral.